ACACUGGCAGGCAGGGGAGAUGCCAUGAUCGCGGAGGUGGUUUUCCCAGGGCGGGGCUCACUCACCGCGCUGAGGGUGUGCUGCCCCCUUUGAUUUCCCCGAAUGUGGGAAACUCGAUGCAUAGUGUGUGGUAGUGGGGGACUGCGUGUUUGCUCUCCCCAC
Small nuclear RNA from Artibeus jamaicensis (Jamaican fruit-eating bat), 162 nucleotides. RefSeq annotates it as U1 spliceosomal RNA. Lineage: Eukaryota; Metazoa; Chordata; Mammalia; Chiroptera; Phyllostomidae. The record is from RefSeq and is a predicted model, not a curated record. The transcript has a single exon.